RNAcentral lists this ribosomal RNA (2902 nucleotides) under Escherichia coli DEC8B. RNAcentral describes it as "bacterial LSU rRNA". It matches the Rfam family "Bacterial large subunit ribosomal RNA". The record is from RNAcentral. Lineage: Bacteria; Pseudomonadati; Pseudomonadota; Gammaproteobacteria; Enterobacterales; Enterobacteriaceae.
UUAAGCGACUAAGCGUACACGGUGGAUGCCCUGGCAGUCAGAGGCGAUGAAGGACGUGCUAAUCUGCGAUAAGCGUCGGUAAGGUGAUAUGAACCGUUAUAACCGGCGAUUUCCGAAUGGGGAAACCCAGUGUGUUUCGACACACUAUCAUUAACUGAAUCCAUAGGUUAAUGAGGCGAACCGGGGGAACUGAAACAUCUAAGUACCCCGAGGAAAAGAGAUCAACCGAGAUUCCCCCAGUAGCGGCGAGCGAACGGGGAGGAGCCCAGAGCCUGAAUCAGUGUGUGUGUUAGUGGAAGCGUCUGGAAAGGCGCGCGAUACAGGGUGACAGCCCCGUACACAAAAAUGCACAUGCUGUGAGCUCGAUGAGUAGGGCGGGACACGUGGUAUCCUGUCUGAAUAUGGGGGGACCAUCCUCCAAGGCUAAAUACUCCUGACUGACCGAUAGUGAACCAGUACCGUGAGGGAAAGGCGAAAAGAACCCCGGCGAGGGGAGUGAAAAAGAACCUGAAACCGUGUACGUACAAGCAGUGGGAGCACGCUUAGGCGUGUGACUGCGUACCUUUUGUAUAAUGGGUCAGCGACUUAUAUUCUGUAGCAAGGUUAACCGAAUAGGGGAGCCGAAGGGAAACCGAGUCUUAACUGGGCGUUAAGUUGCAGGGUAUAGACCCGAAACCCGGUGAUCUAGCCAUGGGCAGGUUGAAGGUUGGGUAACACUAACUGGAGGACCGAACCGACUAAUGUUGAAAAAUUAGCGGAUGACUUGUGGCUGGGGGUGAAAGGCCAAUCAAACCGGGAGAUAGCUGGUUCUCCCCGAAAGCUAUUUAGGUAGCGCCUCGUGAAUUCAUCUCCGGGGGUAGAGCACUGUUUCGGCAAGGGGGUCAUCCCGACUUACCAACCCGAUGCAAACUGCGAAUACCGGAGAAUGUUAUCACGGGAGACACACGGCGGGUGCUAACGUCCGUCGUGAAGAGGGAAACAACCCAGACCGCCAGCUAAGGUCCCAAAGUCAUGGUUAAGUGGGAAACGAUGUGGGAAGGCCCAGACAGCCAGGAUGUUGGCUUAGAAGCAGCCAUCAUUUAAAGAAAGCGUAAUAGCUCACUGGUCGAGUCGGCCUGCGCGGAAGAUGUAACGGGGCUAAACCAUGCACCGAAGCUGCGGCAGCGACGCUGAUGCGUUGUUGGGUAGGGGAGCGUUCUGUAAGCCUGUGAAGGUGUGCUGUGAGGCAUGCUGGAGGUAUCAGAAGUGCGAAUGCUGACAUAAGUAACGAUAAAGCGGGUGAAAAGCCCGCUCGCCGGAAGACCAAGGGUUCCUGUCCAACGUUAAUCGGGGCAGGGUGAGUCGACCCCUAAGGCGAGGCCGAAAGGCGUAGUCGAUGGGAAACAGGUUAAUAUUCCUGUACUUGGUGUUACUGCGAAGGGGGGACGGAGAAGGCUAUGUUGGCCGGGCGACGGUUGUCCCGGUUUAAGCGUGUAGGCUGGUUUUCCAGGCAAAUCCGGAAAACUAAGGCUGAGGCGUGAUGACGAGGCACUACGGUGCUGAAGCAACAAAUGCCCUGCUUCCAGGAAAAGCCUCUAAGCAUCAGGUAACAUCAAAUCGUACCCCAAACCGACACAGGUGGUCAGGUAGAGAAUACCAAGGCGCUUGAGAGAACUCGGGUGAAGGAACUAGGCAAAAUGGUGCCGUAACUUCGGGAGAAGGCACGCUGAUAUGUAGGUGAAGUCCCUCGCGGAUGGAGCUGAAAUCAGUCGAAGAUACCAGCUGGCUGCAACUGUUUAUUAAAAACACAGCACUGUGCAAACACGAAAGUGGACGUAUACGGUGUGACGCCUGCCCGGUGCCGGAAGGUUAAUUGAUGGGGUCAGCGCAAGCGAAGCUCUUGAUCGAAGCCCCGGUAAACGGCGGCCGUAACUAUAACGGUCCUAAGGUAGCGAAAUUCCUUGUCGGGUAAGUUCCGACCUGCACGAAUGGCGUAAUGAUGGCCAGGCUGUCUCCACCCGAGACUCAGUGAAAUUGAACUCGCUGUGAAGAUGCAGUGUACCCGCGGCAAGACGGAAAGACCCCGUGAACCUUUACUAUAGCUUGACACUGAACAUUGAGCCUUGAUGUGUAGGAUAGGUGGGAGGCUUUGAAGUGUGGACGCCAGUCUGCAUGGAGCCGACCUUGAAAUACCACCCUUUAAUGUUUGAUGUUCUAACGUUGACCCGUAAUCCGGGUUGCGGACAGUGUCUGGUGGGUAGUUUGACUGGGGCGGUCUCCUCCUAAAGAGUAACGGAGGAGCACGAAGGUUGGCUAAUCCUGGUCGGACAUCAGGAGGUUAGUGCAAUGGCAUAAGCCAGCUUGACUGCGAGCGUGACGGCGCGAGCAGGUGCGAAAGCAGGUCAUAGUGAUCCGGUGGUUCUGAAUGGAAGGGCCAUCGCUCAACGGAUAAAAGGUACUCCGGGGAUAACAGGCUGAUACCGCCCAAGAGUUCAUAUCGACGGCGGUGUUUGGCACCUCGAUGUCGGCUCAUCACAUCCUGGGGCUGAAGUAGGUCCCAAGGGUAUGGCUGUUCGCCAUUUAAAGUGGUACGCGAGCUGGGUUUAGAACGUCGUGAGACAGUUCGGUCCCUAUCUGCCGUGGGCGCUGGAGAACUGAGGGGGGCUGCUCCUAGUACGAGAGGACCGGAGUGGACGCAUCACUGGUGUUCGGGUUGUCAUGCCAAUGGCACUGCCCGGUAGCUAAAUGCGGAAGAGAUAAGUGCUGAAAGCAUCUAAGCACGAAACUUGCCCCGAGAUGAGUUCUCCCUGACUCCUUGAGAGUCCUGAAGGAACGUUGAAGACGACGACGUUGAUAGGCCGGAUGUGUAAGCGCAGCGAUGCGUUGAGCUAACCGGUACUAAUGAACCGUGAGGCUUAACCUU